This 255-nucleotide ribosomal RNA is filed under the name uncultured bacterium. RNAcentral describes it as "partial 16S ribosomal RNA". The record is from RNAcentral.
CUGCUGCCUUCCGUAGGAGUUUGGGCCGUGUCUCAGUCCCAAUGUGGCCGUUCACCCUCUCAGGCCGGCUACUGAUCGUUGCCUUGGUAGGCCAUUACCCCACCAACUAGCUAAUCAGACGCGGAACCAUCGUAUACCACCAGAGUUUUUCACACCGCUUCAUGCGAAGCUGUGCGCUUAUGCGGUAUUAGCACCUAUUUCUAAGUGUUAUCCCCCAGUAUACGGCAGGUUUUCCACGCGUUACUCACCCGUCCG